GAUGAAGAACGUAGCGAAAUGAGAUAAGUAAUGUGAAUUGCAGAAUUCAGUGAAUCAUCGAAUCUUUGAACGCACAUUGCGCCCGUCAGUAUUCUGGCGGGCAUGCCUGUUCGAGCGUCAUUACGCCCCUCAAGUCCCCUGUGGACUUGGUGUUGGGGAUCGGCGAGGCUGGUUUUCCAGCACAGCCGUCCCUUAAAUUAAUUGGCGGUCUCGCCGUGGCCCUCCUCUGCGCAGUAGUAAAACACUCGCAACAGGAGCCCGGCGCGGUCCACUGCCGUAAAACCCCCCAACUUUUUAUAGUUGACCUCGAAUCAGGCAGGACUACCCGCUGAACUUAAGCAUAUCAAUAAGCGGAGGA
This 358-nucleotide unclassified non-coding RNA is filed under the name soil metagenome. RNAcentral's name for it is "partial contains 5.8S ribosomal RNA, internal transcribed spacer 2, and large subunit ribosomal RNA". The stretch from base 1 to 120 matches the Rfam family "5.8S ribosomal RNA", at positions 35 to 154 of the family's 154-position model. The record is from RNAcentral.